CUGCAGCCCGAGUGGUGACCGUUAUUAUUGAGCCUAAAGCGUCCGUAGCCGGUCUGGUAAAUUCUUGGGUAAAUCGGGCAGCUUAACUGUCCGACUUCCGAGGAGACUGCCAGACUUGGGACCGGGAGAGGUCAGAGGUACUCCAGGGGUAGGGGCUAAAUCCUGUAAUCCUUGGGGGACCACCAGUGGCGAAGGCGUCUGACUAGAACGGAUCCGACGGUAAGGGACGAAACCCUGGGGCGCAAACCGGAUUAGAUACCCGAGUAGUCC
Molecule: ribosomal RNA, 270 nt
Filed under: uncultured archaeon
Lineage: Archaea
Description: partial 16S ribosomal RNA
Rfam family: Archaeal small subunit ribosomal RNA
Source: RNAcentral